Gossypium hirsutum (cotton) is the source of this 144-nucleotide non-coding RNA. The record is from Rfam. Lineage: Eukaryota; Viridiplantae; Streptophyta; Magnoliopsida; Malvales; Malvaceae.
UGUCAAAAAUUUUAUCUGUUGGUAUUGUUAAAAACUGGUGUGGCUAAUGAAUAAUCAAAUAGUAUUACGUGGUGGGCUAUAUGUACCUCAUGCUGAUGUAUAUGAACCAAAUUUUAACAGUACAAAUGGAUGAAUUUUUUAAAA